Molecule: ribosomal RNA, 440 nt
Filed under: uncultured bacterium
Lineage: Bacteria
Description: partial 16S ribosomal RNA
Rfam family: Bacterial small subunit ribosomal RNA
Source: RNAcentral
CCUACGGGUGGCAGCAGUGGGGAAUAUUGCACAAUGGGGGCAACCCUGAUGCAGCAACGCCGCGUGGGUGAAGAAGUACUUCGGUAUGUAAAGCACUGUCAGCAGGGAAGAAAAUGAUGGUACCUGACCAAGAAGCCCCGGCUAACUACGUCCCAGCAGCCGCGGUAAUACGUAGGGGGCAAGCGUUAUCCGGAUGUACUGGGUGUAAAGGGAGCGUAGACGGCUAGGCAAGUCUGAAGUGAAAGCCCGUGGCUCAACCACGGGACUGCUUUGGAAACUGUGUUGCUGGAGUGCAGGAGGGGUAAGCGGAAUUCCUGGUGUAGCGGUGAAAUGCGUAGAUAUUAGGAGGAACACCGGUGGCGAAGGCGGCUUACUGGACUGUAACUGACGUUGAGGCGCGAAGGCGUGGGGAGCAAACAGGAUUAGAUACCCUUGUAGUC